RNAcentral lists this ribosomal RNA (619 nucleotides) under uncultured bacterium. RNAcentral's name for it is "bacterial SSU rRNA". It matches the Rfam family "Bacterial small subunit ribosomal RNA", at positions 53 to 648 of the family's 1533-position model. The record is from RNAcentral.
CCAUGCAGUCGAGCGCGAAAGCGGCUUCGGCCGUUAGUAGAGCGGCGGACGGGUGAGGAACACGUGGGUAACCUAUCCUCGGGUGGGGAAUAACCCAGGGAAACCUGGGCUAAUUCCGCAUAACAUCCUUAGCUCACAAGAGUUUUGGAUCAAAGCUGGGGACCCUUCGGGGCCUGGCGCCAGAGGAGGGGCCCGCGGCCGAUUAGCUUGUUGGUGAGGUAACGGCUCACCAAGGCUUCGAUCGGUAGCCGGCCUAAGAGGGCGGACGGCCACACUGGGACUGAGAUACGGCCCAGACUCCUACGGGAGGCAGCAGUGGGGAAUUUUUGUCAAUGGGGGGAAACCCUGAACAAGCAACGCCGCGUGGAGGACGAAGACCUUCGGGUCGUAAACUCCUGUCGGAGGGGACGAAACCGAUUAUGGUUAAUACCCGUAGUCAUUGACGGUACCCUUAGAGGAAGCCCCGGCUAACUCCGUGCCAGCAGCCGCGGUAAUACGGGGGGGGCAAGCGUUGUUCGGAAUUACUGGGCGUAAAGGGCGUGUAGGCGGUCCUGCAAGUCUUUCGUGAAAUCCCACAGCUCAACUGUGGAACUGCGAGGGAAACUGCAGGACUUGAGUC